AUUGAACGCUGGCGGCAUGCCUUACACAUGCAAGUCGAACGGUAACAGGUCUUCGGAUGCUGACGAGUGGCGAACGGGUGAGUAAUACAUCGGAACGUGCCUAGUAGUGGGGGAUAACUACUCGAAAGAGUGGCUAAUACCGCAUGCGAUCUACGGAUGAAAGCUGGGGAUCGCAAGACCUUUAGCCACUAGCGCGGCCGAUGGAAGAUUAGGUAGUUGGUGGGAUAAAAGCUUACCAAGCCGACGAUCUGUAGGUGGUCUGAGAGGACGAUCAGCCACACUGGGACUGAGACACGGCCCAGACUCCUGCGGGAGGCAGCAGUGGGGAAUUUUGGACAAUGGGCGAAAGCCUGAUCCAGCAAUGCCGCGUGCAGGAUGAAGGCCUUCGGGUUGUAAACUGCUUUUGUACGGAACGAAAAGCCCCGGGUUAAUACCCUGGGGUCAUGACGGUACCGUAAGAAUAAGCACCGGCUAACUACGUGCCAGCAGCCGCCGUAA
RNAcentral lists this ribosomal RNA (498 nucleotides) under uncultured bacterium. RNAcentral's name for it is "partial 16S ribosomal RNA". It matches the Rfam family "Bacterial small subunit ribosomal RNA", at positions 30 to 523 of the family's 1533-position model. The record is from RNAcentral.